AUACGGAGGAUGCGAGCGUUAUCCGGAUUUAUUGGGUUUAAAGGGUGCGUAGGCGGGAUUUUAAGUCAGCGGUGAAACGCAAGGGCUCAACCCUUGACCUGCCGUUGAAACUGGAGUUCUUGAAUGCGGAUGCUGUGGGAGGAAUGUGUGGUGUAGCGGUGAAAUGCAUAGAUAUCACACAGAACACCGAUUGCGAAGGCAUCUCACAAAUCCGUGAUUGACGCUGAGGCACGAAAGUGUGGGGAUCAAACAGGAUUAGAUACCCUGGUAGUCCACACUGCAAACGAUGAUAACUCGCUGUCGGCGAUACACAGUCGGUGGCCAAGCGAAAGCGAUAAGUUAUCCACCUGGGGAGUACGACCGCAAGGUUGAAACUCAAAUGAAUUGGCGGGG
Molecule: ribosomal RNA, 393 nt
Filed under: uncultured bacterium
Lineage: Bacteria
Description: partial 16S ribosomal RNA
Rfam family: Bacterial small subunit ribosomal RNA
Source: RNAcentral